Non-coding RNA from Ceratotherium simum simum (southern white rhinoceros), 100 nucleotides. The record is from RefSeq and is a predicted model, not a curated record. NCBI's taxonomy places the organism in Eukaryota, Metazoa, Chordata, Mammalia, Perissodactyla, Rhinocerotidae.
CGCUGUGUGUCCCUUCCAUUUAUGGCAAGUUGGCUGAUUUUCCAUUUACAUUAGUUAUUUAAACUCUCCUUUAAAAUAAAUAAAGGGCCGGCCCCGUGGC